AGAAAUUCAUAGAUGGAAAGAGUAAGUUUUUUGGCUUUUCUCAGAGAGCGGUCGUUUGGUGAAAGAUCGCAAAAACCAAUCAUACUGAAAAUCAUUCCGGAGAAGCGCAGACGAUAAGUGAAGUCUGCGACGGUGAUCCCCGUUACAGGAUUAAGUAUUUCGGCAAAUAGCUGAGAUGCGAAAGAGAUUGCUCAAUAAAUAGAAUUGAGUAAAAAAAUGGUGGUACCGCGAUUGAUUGAUCGCCCGUUGA
This 250-nucleotide non-coding RNA is filed under the name Enterococcus faecalis. RNAcentral describes it as "T-box sequence". It matches the Rfam family "T-box leader". Rfam says of the family: Uncharged tRNA acts as the effector for transcription antitermination of genes in the T-box leader family. T-boxes are found upstream of many aminoacyl-tRNA synthetase genes and some amino acid biosynthetic genes usually in Gram-positive bacteria. Lineage: Bacteria; Bacillati; Bacillota; Bacilli; Lactobacillales; Enterococcaceae. The record is from RNAcentral.